AAACCGGCACGCAACUGGCGAUAGGCACCCUGCCCUGACGGAUUUUUGGGGUGCCGAAGUGGGAACACCACGGGGGAGCGUGCCGCAGGCGCCUAUUCGGGACUUGUGAUCAGCCGUUCGCCUGGGCAGCCCUG
This 134-nucleotide non-coding RNA is filed under the name Rhodoferax ferrireducens. RNAcentral describes it as "ZTP sequence". It matches the Rfam family "ZMP/ZTP riboswitch aptamer (pfl RNA motif)". From Rfam's summary of the family: Previously known as pfl RNA. ZMP is also known as AICAR. Lineage: Bacteria; Pseudomonadati; Pseudomonadota; Betaproteobacteria; Burkholderiales; Comamonadaceae. The record is from RNAcentral.